GUAGGUGAACCUGCGGAAGGAUCAUUACACUCAGUAGAUUUCUACUGCUCAGGGGGAGCGGAAAGUGGCUCAAGCUUGCUUGUCCACAAGUACGCUUUCUAUCUGAUACCCUUGUCUUUUUGCGUACUCAUGUUUCCUCGGCGGGUCCGCCCGCCGGUUGGACAACUCAAUAACCUUUUUAAUUUUCAAUCAGCGUCUGAAUAAUUAUAAUAAUUACAACUUUCAACAACGGAUCUCUUGGUUCUG
RNAcentral lists this unclassified non-coding RNA (246 nucleotides) under rhizosphere metagenome. RNAcentral describes it as "partial ribosomal RNA internal transcribed spacer region". The record is from RNAcentral.